This is a long non-coding RNA of Stegostoma tigrinum, 824 nucleotides long. RefSeq lists it as uncharacterized. The transcript has 3 exons. Lineage: Eukaryota; Metazoa; Chordata; Chondrichthyes; Orectolobiformes; Stegostomatidae. The record is from RefSeq and is a predicted model, not a curated record.
CUGUCCGCGGGCGCAAUAUCUCUGCGAAUGAGGGUUAGCUGCUUUCGGAAGGUACAGUACACGGGAUAAAAAGGAAAGCUGCAAAAAAACGGGAGGGAAAUACUUUCGGUAUUGACUGAGAGGCUUUAUUAGCCGUUGAUGCAUGUCAGAAAACAAAUUUUAACAUGCCGGUCCCGUGUUUUGCAGCAAACGGAAAAACUGCUACGGACCUGAGGCUGCGAUAGGCAGAGGAUAUUUAUUGAGAAUAAUUUGCAGACCAGGAUCCCAAUGCAAGUUCUCCAUUAAGCGGAGUGAUCAGGAUCUGAGUAUCAUUGACACUUAACAGUGAAAGGAAAGAGGUUUAACCAUUCUAUGCGUGGGAGAAUACUCCUGGACCUUUCGUGAUCUAAUCCCGUAACAGUGUGAGCUGCUACAAUGCACAUGCUAGUAAAAGCAUAAGAGGACAGAUGAGAUGAGUGCAUGGCUGGAGCUAUAACUUAAAAAGAUUUGGAUUCCUGAGGCAUUGAGACUGUUUGUUUGUUUCUGGGGAAGGUGGGACAUGCACAAGCUUGAACAAUUGUCCUGGGCAGAGCUGGGACAGAUAUUCUUGUUGAUGCUUUUGCUAGUUCCACUGGUGAGGAUUUAAACUCGUAUGACAGGGGAAUGGGAACCAAAGUAUACCUUUAGCAGUAAAAGACUCAAAUCAGCAAAUGGGACGUGAAAUUAGUUCAUGAUGUUGUCGGUGGCUGAAAGAUUAAAAGAAAGAAGGAUUAAUCAAGAUCAAAUCUCUUUUCAUACAUCAGUCCUGUGAUCCCAGGAAUUGGUCUGGUGAACCUUCUUUGCGA